This 497-nucleotide ribosomal RNA is filed under the name uncultured bacterium. RNAcentral's name for it is "partial 16S ribosomal RNA". It matches the Rfam family "Bacterial small subunit ribosomal RNA", at positions 28 to 507 of the family's 1533-position model. The record is from RNAcentral.
GAUGAACGCUGGCGGCGUGCCUAAUACAUGCAAGUCGAGCGAACAGACGAGGAGCUUGCUCCUCUGACGUUAGCGGCGGACGGGUGAGUAACACGUGGAUAACCUACCUAUAAGACUGGGAUAACUUCGGGAAACCGGAGCUAAUACCGGAUAAUAUAUUGAACCGCAUGGUUCAAUAGUGAAAGACGGUUUUGCUGUCACUUAUAGAUGGAUCCGCGCCGCAUUAGCUAGUUGGUAAGGUAACGGCUUACCAAGGCAACGAUGCGUAGUCGACCUGAGAGGGUGAUCGGCCACACUGGAACUGAGACACGGUCCAGACUCCUACGGGAGGCAGCAGUAGGGAAUCUUCCGCAAAGGGCGAAAGCUUGACGGAGCAACGCCGCGUGAGUGAUGAAGGUCUUCGGAUCGUAAAACUCUGUUAUUAGGGAAGAACAAAUGUGUAAGUAACUAUGCACGUCUUGACGGUACCUAAUCAGAAAGCCACGGCUAACUACGUG